This is a long non-coding RNA of Melospiza melodia melodia, 2281 nucleotides long. RefSeq lists it as uncharacterized. The transcript has 2 exons. Lineage: Eukaryota; Metazoa; Chordata; Aves; Passeriformes; Passerellidae. The record is from RefSeq and is a predicted model, not a curated record.
GGGGCACGCCAGCAUCAGCCUGGGUGUCACUGGGAUCCCACCGGGAUCCGGGAAGGGUCAGCGGGGCACACCGGGAUCAGCCGCGGGACUGCCAGCAUCUCCUCCAGGUCAGCCCUGCACCUCCAGGAUCUCCUCCAGGUCAGGACUGCAUCACCAGGAUCUCCUCCAGGUCAGCCCUGCGCCACCAGGAUCUCCUCCAGGUCAGCCCUGCACCUCCAGGAUCUCCUCCAGGUCAGCCCUGCACCUCCAGGAUCUCCUCCAGGUCAGCCCUGCACCUCCAGGUCAGCCCUGCACCACCACCAGGAACUCCUGGUUAGCCCUUCCACCCCCAGGAUCUCCCCCAGGUCAGCCCUGCACCCCCAGGAUCUCCUCCAGGUCAGCCCUACAUCACCAGGAUCUCCUCCAGGUCAGCCCCGCACCCCCAGGAUCUCCUCACGAUCACGCCUGGGUCACUCCCAGGAUCACCAGGAUCAGCCAUGGGAUCACUAAAUCUCCAUGGGAUCACCAGGACCAUACCAGGCUGACCCUUGGGAUCACCAGGGCCACUCCAGGUUCAGCCAUGCUAUUCCCAGGAUCUCAGCAUGAUUCCCCUGGGUCCCACACCAGGAUUAGCUGCAGGAUCUCCUUGGGAUCACCCCUGGGAUCCUCAGCAUCUCACCAGGAGCAGGUGGGAGAUCACCAGGGCCACACCUGGGUCAUUUCCCAUCUUCCUGGUCCCUGGGAGAGCUCCUCCAUGGAAUGGUGCUGGAGCACUUCAGGAGACCCAGCAUGGAAUCCUCCAAACCACAUUUACAGAUUCCAAUAUUGAGAUUUUGGGGAAUUUCCCAGAUUUGGGGGCAUGGUGUGGGCAGGAGGGACCCACAGGGAUGAGGUGGGAAGCAGAGGAGGGGUGGAUAUGGGGAAGGACAAAGGAAGGUUUAGUUCCAGUCGUGUGGAAGCGUUUUCCUGGGAAAUCCAGCCUGGCCUGAAUUCCCAGCAGCUUCUGGAACCUCUGGAAUUGGAUCAUGACAAGGAAAAAGUGAUUUCUGGGAUGUUCUCCAGCGCCCUUCCAGGGGCCAGCUGCUGUUGUGGGGACAGAAGGAAGCUCCAACAAAUUCAAACAAACUGAGCCCAUGGAUCCGUUCCCUCUCCCAGUUCUCCAUGGAGCUGGGGCUGGCCUGGGGAAAAUCUGGGGUGCCUGAAUUGGGGAUGCUCCCACCAUCCGUGGCUGCUGCUGGUUUUGGCAGCAGGAUGUUCCUGACAGCUGGGGGUGCUGACUUUGGGGCUUUCAGCAUUCUCCUGCCAGAUCCCAGAUCCUUCUGAGGGAGCUGCAGGGGCUGAUCCUGGAGAAGAGGAGGCUCAGGGGGCACCUUCUGGCUCCUGCAGUUCCCUGGAAGGAGGAAGGUUGGAGCCAGGAGCGGUCGGGCUCUGUUCCCAGGGAACAGGACCAGAGGGCAGGGCCUCAAGGGCAGGUUCAGGUGGAAUAUUGGGAAUGUUCCUCCUGGAAAGGGCUCUCCAAGAGAGAGAGAGAGAUCUCAAACUCUGCAAAGCUGCCCAGGGCAGGGGUGGUGGCCCAUCCCUGCAGGGAUUGAAAAACCCUGUGGAUGUGGCACUUGGGGACAUGGUCAGGGGUGGCAUUGGCAGUGCUGAGGAAUGGUUGGACUCGAUCUUGGAGGGCUUUUCCAACCAAAACCAUUCUGUGAUUCCCCAGAAAUGAAUCUUUGUUUCAUUCCCUUCUCCAGGCAGAUCCAACAGGCCAAGCCAUGAGUUGUUGCUCCAGUGGGAACAAGCCCAGGAGAGCUGCAGCUCCAGCACCAGGAGAGAGGGAAUCAGGAGCAGCCUGGGUUACCCACAGCAGCCUCUGUGCUGUGAUCCUGCCUUUUCCAGAGGCUCAGGAACACCAGCUGGGUCUGCCUGGCUCCUGCCCUGUGCAAACAGCGCCAUCGAUCCCCAGUAACUCCCUGCCUGCCCAAAGGUUGUGUGGGUCGCUUCUCCUGCUGUUUAUUUUUGUAAAUCGAUGGUGGACGCGAGCAGGGGGCACUUGCUGAGGUGCCAUUCCUUGGGGAAUGCUGGGAUGCAGGCUAUGAGAUGGACAGGAAGGUCAGGGCUUUCUUCUUGUCAGCAUCCGGGAGCAGUCCAGGUUUCCUGUGCAUGCUCUGGAGGGAAUCCAGGGAGCUGCUGAAGCUUUGCUGGGAACAGGGAACACAAAGGGGUCACUGAGCUCAGCUCGGCUCUCAGAGCACAGUUCUCACCUGUAAAAACUUUUUUUUUUUUCUGAAAAAUAAAACCAAAUUCCUUCUCA